RNAcentral lists this ribosomal RNA (509 nucleotides) under uncultured Acaulospora. Its description in RNAcentral is "SSU rRNA". It matches the Rfam family "Eukaryotic small subunit ribosomal RNA", at positions 569 to 1078 of the family's 1831-position model. Lineage: Eukaryota; Fungi; Glomeromycota; Glomeromycetes; Diversisporales; Acaulosporaceae. The record is from RNAcentral.
AGCAGCCGCGGUAAUUCCAGCUCCAAUAGCGUAUAUUAAAGUUGUCGCAGUUAAAAAGCUCGUAGUUGAAUUUCGGGGUUUAUCCGUUGGUCGGGCUUUUGGGUCUGUACUGGCGUGAUGGAUUCCUACCUUCUGAAUAACCAGCAUGCCAUUAAUUUGGUGCGUUGGGGAAGCAGGACUGUUACCUUGAAAAAAUUAGAGUACUUAAAGCAGGCUAUUGCCUGAAUACAUUAGCAUGGAAUAAUGAAAUAGGACGCAUGGUUCUAUUUUGUUGGUUUCUAGGAUCACCGUAAUGAUUAAUAGGGAUAGUUGGGGGCAUUAGUAUUCAAUUGUCAGAGGUGAAAUUCUUGGAUUUAUUGAAGACUAACUUCUGCGAAAGCAUUUGCCAAGGAUGUUUUCAUUAAUCAAGAACGAAAGUUAGGGGAUCGAAGACGAUCAGAUACCGUCGUAGUCUUAACCAUAAACUAUACCGACCAGGGAUCGGACGAUGUUAAUUUUUUAAUGACUCG